AGUCAAGUAAUUAAGUGCAUGUGGUGGAUGCCUUGGCAGUCAGAGGCGAUGAAAGACGUGAUAGCCUGCGAAAAGCUCCGGGGAGGCGGCAAAUAUCCUUUGAUCCGGAGAUGUCUGAAUGGGGGAACCCACCUACUUUAAGGUAGGUAUUGCAACAUGAAUACAUAGUGUUGCAAGGCGAACGAGGGGAAGUGAAACAUCUCAGUACCCUUAGGAAAAGAAAUCAAUUGAGAUUCCCUCAGUAGCGGCGAGCGAACGGGGAUCAGCCCAUUAAGUUAUGUGUGUUUUAGUGGAACGCUCUGGGAAGUGCGAACGUAGAGGGUGAUAUUCCCGUACACGAAAGGGCACACAUAAUGAUGACGAGUAGGGCGAGGCACGUGAAACCUUGUCUGAAUAUGGGGGACCAUCCUCCAAGGCUAAAUACUCCUGACUGACCGAUAGUGAACCAGUACCGUGAGGGAAAGGCGAAAAGAACCCCUGUGAGGGGAGUGAAAUAGAUCCUGAAACCGCAUGCAUACAAGCAGUGGGAGCACCUUCGUGGUGUGACUGCGUACCUUUUGUAUAAUGGGUCAGCGACUUAUAUUCAGUAGCGAGGUUAACCGUAUAGGGGAGCCGUAGAGAAAUCGAGUCUUAAUAGGGCGUUUAGUUGCUGGGUAUAGACCCGAAACCAGGCGAUCUAUCCAUGAGCAGGUUGAAGGUUGGGUAACACUAACUGGAGGACCGAACCCACUGUCGUUGAAAAGCCAGGGGAUGACUUGUGGAUAGGGGUGAAAGGCUAAUCAAGCCUGGUGAUAGCUGGUUCUCCCCGAAAGCUAUUUAGGUAGCGCCUCGGACGAAUACCAUAGGGGGUAGAGCACUGUUUCGGCUAGGGGGUCAUCCCGACUUACCAAACCGAUGCAAACUCCGAAUACCUAUGAGUACUAUCCGGGAGACAGACUGCGGGUGCUAACGUCCGUAGUCAAGAGGAAAACAAUCCAGACCGCCAGCUAAGGCCCCAAAAUCAUAGUUAAGUGGGAAACGAUGUGGGAAGGCAUAGACAGCUAGGAGGUUGGCUUAGAAGCAGCCACCCUUUAAAGAAAGCGUAAUAGCUCACUAGUCGAGUCGGCCUGCGCGGAAGAUGUAACGGGGCUAAAACUAUGUGCCGAAGCUGCGGAUGUAUACUUUGUAUACGUGGUAGGGGAGCGUUCUGUAAGCCGAUGAAGGUGUGUUGAGAAGCAUGCUGGAGGUAUCAGAAGUGCGAAUGCUGACGUGAGUAACGACAAAACGGGUGAAAAACCCGUUCGCCGAAAGACCAAGGGUUCCAGUCCAACGUUAAUCGGGGCUGGGUGAGUCGACCCCUAAGGCGAGGCCGAAAGGCGUAGUCGAUGGGAAAAUGGUUAAUAUUCCAUUACUUCUGUGUGCGAUGAGAGAGGACGGAGAAGGCUAAAUCAGCCUGGCGUUGGUUGUCCAGGUGAAAGGAUGUAGGCAUGUAUCUUAGGCAAAUCCGGGGUACUCUAUGCUGAGAUCUGAUAGCAAGCUGUACUUGUACAGCGAAGUGGUUGAUGCCAUGCUUCCAGGAAAAGUCUCUAAGCUUCAGUUACACAGGAAUCGUACCCGAAACCGACACAGGUGGUCAGGUCGAGUAGACCAAGGCGCUUGAGAGAACUCUGCUGAAGGAACUAGGCAAAAUGGUACCGUAACUUCGGGAGAAGGUACGCUGUUGUUGGUGAUGGAACUCGCUUCCUGAGCUGACGACAGCCGCAGAAACCAGGCCGCUGCAACUGUUUAUUAAAAACAUAGCACUCUGCAAACACGAAAGUGGACGUAUAGGGUGUGAUGCCUGCCCGGUGCUGGAAGGUUAAUUGAUGGGGUUAGCGUAAGCGAAGCUCUUGAUCGAAGCCCCAGUAAACGGCGGCCGUAACUAUAACGGUCCUAAGGUAGCGAAAUUCCUUGUCGGGUAAGUUCCGACCUGCACGAAUGGCAUAAUGAUGGCGGCGCUGUCUCCAGCAGAGGCUCAGUGAAAUCGAAAUCGCUGUGAAGAUGCAGUGUACCCGCGGCUAGACGGAAAGACCCCGUGAACCUUUACUGCAGCUUGACACUGAACUUUGACCUUACUUGUGUAGGAUAGGUGGGAGGCUUUGAAGCUGGAACGCUAGUUCCAGUGGAGCCGUCCUUGAAAUACCACCCUGGUAAUGUUGAGGUUCUAACUCUGUCCCGUGAUCCGGGACGAGGACCGUGUCUGGUGGGUAGUUUGACUGGGGCGGUCUCCUCCUAAAGAGUAACGGAGGAGUACGAAGGUGCGCUCAGCGUGGUCGGAAAUCACGCGUAGAGUAUAAAGGCAAAAGCGCGCUUAACUGCGAGACCCACAAGUCGAGCAGGUACGAAAGUAGGUCUUAGUGAUCCGGUGGUUCUGUAUGGAAGGGCCAUCGCUCAACGGAUAAAAGGUACUCUGGGGAUAACAGGCUGAUACCGCCCAAGAGUUCAUAUCGACGGCGGUGUUUGGCACCUCGAUGUCGGCUCAUCUCAUCCUGGGGCUGAAGCAGGUCCCAAGGGUAUGGCUGUUCGCCAUUUAAAGAGGUACGCGAGCUGGGUUUAGAACGUCGUGAGACAGUUCGGUCCCUAUCUACCGUGGGCGCUGGAAAUUUGAGAGGAUCUGCUCCUAGUACGAGAGGACCAGAGUGGACGAACCUCUGGUGUACCGGUUGUGACGCCAGUCGCAUCGCCGGGUAGCUAUGUUCGGAAGGGAUAACCGCUGAAAGCAUCUAAGCGGGAAGCCUACCUCAAGAUAAGAUUUCCCUAGGACUUUAUGUCCUCUAAAGAGCCGUUCGAGACUAGGACGUUGAUAGGUUGGAUGUGGAAGCAUAGUGAUAUGUGAAGCUGACCAAUACUAAUUGCUCGUGAGGCUUGACUAU
RNAcentral lists this ribosomal RNA (2891 nucleotides) under Acinetobacter baumannii. RNAcentral describes it as "23S ribosomal RNA". It matches the Rfam family "Bacterial large subunit ribosomal RNA". Lineage: Bacteria; Pseudomonadati; Pseudomonadota; Gammaproteobacteria; Moraxellales; Moraxellaceae. The record is from RNAcentral.